AGUGAACGCUGGCGGUAGGCCUAACACAUGCAAGUCGAACGGCAGCACAGUAAGAGCUUGCUCUUACGGGUGGCGAGUGGCGGACGGGUGAGGAAUACAUCGGAAUCUACUUUUUCGUGGGGGAUAACGUAGGGAAACUUACGCUAAUACCGCAUACGACCUACGGGUGAAAGCAGGGGAUCUUCGGACCUUGCGCGAUUGAAUGAGCCGAUGUCGGAUUAGCUAGUUGGCGGGGUAAAGGCCCACCAAGGCGACGAUCCGUAGCUGGUCUGAGAGGAUGAUCAGCCGCACUGGAACUGAGACACGGUCCAGGCUCCUACGGGAGGCAGCAGUGGGGAAUAGUGGACAAUGGGCGCAAGCCUGAUCCAGCCAUACCGCGUGGGUGAAGAAGGCCUUCGGGUUGUAAAGCCCUUUUGUUGGGAAAGAAAAGCAGCAGGUUAAUACCCCGCUGUUCUGACGGUACCCAAAGAAUAAGCACCGGCUAACUUCGUG
This 492-nucleotide ribosomal RNA is filed under the name uncultured bacterium. RNAcentral's name for it is "partial 16S ribosomal RNA". It matches the Rfam family "Bacterial small subunit ribosomal RNA", at positions 29 to 507 of the family's 1533-position model. The record is from RNAcentral.